RNAcentral lists this unclassified non-coding RNA (355 nucleotides) under fungal sp. RNAcentral's name for it is "partial internal transcribed spacer region". The stretch from base 1 to 46 matches the Rfam family "Eukaryotic small subunit ribosomal RNA", at positions 1786 to 1831 of the family's 1831-position model. Lineage: Eukaryota; Fungi. The record is from RNAcentral.
AAGUCGUAACAAGGUUUCCGUAGGUGAACCUGCGGAAGGAUCAUUAACACGUUUUACUUAAACGUCCCUAACCAAACUCUGUGAACAGAGGCCUGCGAUGCAUUCUUUCGCUAACUGCGGGAAUGGAUUCGCGCUAAACAUGGGCCUCGAUCUUUUUCUCCAUAUUUUUAACCCCUUUAACAACUUGGUUAUUUCCUCUGGGAAUGACCAUCUUGUGUCAACUCAUUUUAAAAACCUCAAAAUUAGAUAUUGAAUUGCCAAUAUCUAAUUUCCUCAGGAUAUAACAUACUAUAUGUGUGUAUAUCUCUGAUAUCUAAACCUUGAACAACUCUUAGCAACGGAUAUCUUGGUUCCC